Molecule: non-coding RNA, 119 nt
Organism: Podospora didyma
Lineage: Eukaryota; Fungi; Ascomycota; Sordariomycetes; Sordariales; Podosporaceae
Source: the annotation of a GenBank genome assembly
GGCCGGCUGGCUCAAUGGUAGAGCGUCUGACUACGAUUCCACAAGUACUCGGACAAUUCUGUCUGCCUACGGUGGCUCGGUCAAUCAGGAGGUUCCAGGUUCGAGACCUGGGUUGGUCG